CCACAGUGGCCAGGCUGAGACAGCGUGUUUUUGAUGGUGAUUCAGGUUACUCCAGGGCAAAGCACGAUCCUGAUGACACUCGGCGGAAAAGCAGGCUGGAGCCACGGAAGAGCUGACCCUGGAUUGGAAGGACCCCAGGUCAGGUCUGAACUCCAGUCAGCAAAAG
Vicugna pacos (alpaca) is the source of this 166-nucleotide non-coding RNA. The record is from RefSeq and is a predicted model, not a curated record. Lineage: Eukaryota; Metazoa; Chordata; Mammalia; Artiodactyla; Camelidae.